UUGUGGCAGAGUAGAAGUAGCCUCCUUUACUCCUGGGGGAGGAGACCAAGUUUUUCUAGCAAAGCGCUCACCUUGCCACAAAUUUCAUGUGGAGAGAGUAUCACAGGGAAAGAGGAGCAAUUAUGGUUGGAUCCUGAAGCCAGAUAUGAAAAGUAGACCUGAGUUCUAGGAAGAACACAACCCAGGCUCCAGCUGCAGACCUUACUAAACUCAGUCUGAUCUUGGGAGAGUCCAUUCACCCCUCUCUGUCCCAGCUUCCCCUAUCACUAAGAGAAAAAGUACAACACCAAGACUCCACACCAGAACACUGUGAGAGCUUCUUCACAAGUUGCAGGAAAAGCCCUCUGCCCAGAGAAGACAUCCCUGUACAGGGAAAGAGUGUGGCACUAGAAUGUUGUGGGUCUUGUGGCUACCUUCUAGCCCUUGGCUUUAAGCAAGUCCCUUAGCCUGCUUCAGCAUCCUCAGCUGUAAAGAAGGUAACAGGAUCUACUUUAAAAAGUUUUUUAAGUACUAGGGU
Felis catus (domestic cat) is the source of this 517-nucleotide long non-coding RNA. RefSeq lists it as uncharacterized. NCBI's taxonomy places the organism in Eukaryota, Metazoa, Chordata, Mammalia, Carnivora, Felidae. The record is from RefSeq and is a predicted model, not a curated record. The transcript is spliced from 3 exons.